CCUACGGGAGGCAGCAGUGAGGAAUAUUGGUCAAUGGACGAGAGUCUGAACCAGCCAAGUAGCGUGAAGGAUGACUGCCCUAUGGGUUGUAAACUUCUUUUAUAUGGGAGUAAAAUGUUCCACGUGUGGGAUUUUGUAUGUACCAUAUGAAAAAGGAUCGGCUAACUCCGUGCCAGCAACCGCGGGAAUACGGAGGAACCGAGCGUUAUCCGGAUUUAUUGGGGUUAAAGGGAGCGUAAGUGGGAUGUUAAGUUCGGUGUGAAAGUUUGCGGCUCAAACGUAAAAUUGCAGUUGAAACUGGCAGUCUUGAGUACAGUAGAGGUGGGCGGAAUUCGUGGUGUAGCGGUGAAAUGCUUAGAUAUCACGAAGAACUCCGAUUGCGAAGGCAGCUCACUGGACUGCAACUGACACUGAGGCUCGAAAGUGUGGGUAUCAAACAGGAUUAGAUACCCUUGUAGUC
Molecule: ribosomal RNA, 460 nt
Filed under: uncultured bacterium
Lineage: Bacteria
Description: partial 16S ribosomal RNA
Rfam family: Bacterial small subunit ribosomal RNA
Source: RNAcentral